Molecule: long non-coding RNA, 284 nt
Filed under: Manihot esculenta (cassava)
Lineage: Eukaryota; Viridiplantae; Streptophyta; Magnoliopsida; Malpighiales; Euphorbiaceae
Description: long non-coding RNA (MESC_LNC011803)
Source: RNAcentral
UAUAAACAAAUUCAACUCUAAUUAUAUACUAAUUUAACAAAUCAAACACACUAAUCAAUUUAACAAUACAUAUCAAACUAGAGUUGAAUGAAGGCACGUAAAGUAAACCGACCAAGCCAAACUAUGCAUGCUAAGCGCAGUCUCAAAAAAACAAUUUUUUUAAAAGAAAUUAUGUUUUUAAAAAUUAAAAAUCUUAAUAUUCAAUUUUACUCUAAAGUUUAUGAGGAAAGUUUAAUCUAAUUAAUUUUUAAUUUUUAUCUAAAUUAUCUUAUAAAUUUUAAUUU